ACUAAGGGCCCAAAAAAGCCGUGGGGGAGCCAAAAACAGGAGUUUGGAAUUACCCUGGUGAGGCCCCCGCCGUGAAACAGAUGAAAUGCCCAGCGCGUUAAGUGGGGGGUUUUACUUCCCUAGGGGGGGGGGCGGCCAACCGCUUUUAAGCAUUUCCGCCCGGGGGAAUAACGGGUCGCAAAGCUUAAAAACUCAAAAGGAAUUUGAGGGGGGCCCGGCACAAAGCGGUGGAGCAUGUGGUUUAAUUUCGGGGCAACGCGCGGAACCUUUACCAGCCCUUGACAUCCCGGUAGCGGGACUCCAGAGACGGAGUUCUUCAGUUCGGCUGGACCGGAGACAGGUGCCGCAUGGCUGUCGUCAGCUCGUGUCGUGGAGAUGUUGGGUUAAGUCCCGCAACGAGCGCAACCCCCGUCCUUAGUUGCUCCCAUUUAGUUGAGCACUCUAAGGAGACUGCCGGUGAUAAGCCGCGAGGAAGGUGGGGAUGACGUCAAGUCCUCAUGGGCCUUACGGGCUGGGCUACACACGUGCUACAAUGGCGGUGACAAUGGGAUGCUAAGGGGCGACCCUUCGCAAAUCUCAAAAAGCCGUCUCAGUUCGGAUUGGGCUCUGCAACUCGAGCCCAUGAAGUUGGAAUCGCUAGUAAUCGUGGAUCAGCACGCCACGGUGAAUACGUUCCCGGGCCUUGAACACUUUUUUUCGUCACGGCGUGUUUUAAAAAAAACCGAAG
RNAcentral lists this ribosomal RNA (727 nucleotides) under Bradyrhizobium elkanii. RNAcentral's name for it is "partial 16S ribosomal RNA". The stretch from base 164 to 689 matches the Rfam family "Bacterial small subunit ribosomal RNA", at positions 875 to 1387 of the family's 1533-position model. The record is from RNAcentral. Lineage: Bacteria; Pseudomonadati; Pseudomonadota; Alphaproteobacteria; Hyphomicrobiales; Nitrobacteraceae.